AACCCUUGACAUCCUGUGCUAACCCGAGAGAUCGGGCGUCCACUUCGGUGGCGCAGUGACAGGUGCUGCAUGGCUGUCGUCAGCUCGUGUCGUGAGAUGUUCGGUUAAGUCCGGCAACGAGCGCAACCCACAUCCUUAGUUGCCAGCAGUUCGGCUGGGCACUCUAAGGAAACUGCCCGUGAUAAGUGGGAGGAAGGUGUGGAUGACGUCAAGUCCUCAUGGCCCUUACGGGUUGGGCUACACACGUGCUACAAUGGCAGUGACAAUGGGUUAAUCCCCAAAAGCUGUCUCAGUUCGGAUUGGGGUCUGCAACUCGACCCCAUGAAGUCGGAAUCGCUAGUAAUCGUGGAACAGCAUGCCACGGUGAAUACGUUCCCGGGCCU
This 383-nucleotide ribosomal RNA is filed under the name uncultured bacterium. RNAcentral's name for it is "bacterial SSU rRNA". It matches the Rfam family "Bacterial small subunit ribosomal RNA", at positions 976 to 1381 of the family's 1533-position model. The record is from RNAcentral.